Molecule: long non-coding RNA, 1170 nt
Filed under: Equus caballus (horse)
Lineage: Eukaryota; Metazoa; Chordata; Mammalia; Perissodactyla; Equidae
Description: lncRNA (ENSECAG00000059012.1)
Source: RNAcentral
GAAUAGCUGGAUGUUGGAAUGCCUGGCCUGGGGCUCAGCAAGCUGUGGAGCUACUGUUUUGCCAACAAUGCUGUCCCUGAUUGUGAGGCUCCUCACCCCUGCUGUGGCCUGCAUCCCUCUCUGGCACCGCUACCCCUCUGGUUGGACAUCCCUGAGGCCAAUGCCUGCACCUCCAGGAGAGUCAGAGGCCAGAACACAGCCAGGGGCGGCUAGAAAGAGAUGACAGAUGAAAGAGACAGAGCCUGGCACAGAGGCAUGAAGAGGUUUGUCAUAUUAUCCUUGUGGAAACAAUGAAGAAAUGUGGGCUGCGUGAUGGACCUACUUGGAGGAUUCCUAACUGGUGACUCACUGUACCCAAUGAGGCUGGAACGAUGACCCUAUAUGAACGAAUGACAUUUGGAGGAAGGCGGAUGCGGAGUCCUGCAGGCAAGUUGAAAAGAUUAGAAGCACAAAUAUGGGGCUGAAAGCCCUGGUUUAAGAAUGAAACCCUUGAAAAAGACCAAGUUUAUUUGACAGCUAAUUCAUUGUGAAUCAAUUGUGUGGCACAGCCAGAAGUCUGAUGACUCCCAGGCUCCCGAGCUGCCUUAGUAGACGCAGAAAGCUUGGAAUACGGAAGGUCAACGGUCCCACUAGGUUCCGUAUUUUGCUGCGUUCAGGGCUGAGAACCCUUCUUAAGAGUAAUGUCCAGGGGAGGGCCACCCCCAUGGUAAAGGAUCUAAACACUAAGUCCUAUGAGUAGAGUGACCAUAAAAUUUAUUACCUAAACUGGGACACAUCUGAGAGUGACAGAAAGUGUUAUUAACAACUGCAAUGUAUAAUAGUUCUACCUUUGAGGCAUCAUUGGAAGAACCAGGACUUUUUAUACUGGAGAAGAAAAGAAUUCAAAUAACCAAAUGGUUGUCAUAUGAGAAGGAGAAUAGGUUUCUAUGGCCUAUUAUUUUUCAAAAUGAUUGUUUAAAAAGGAACACCUGCUCAACGAAAAAACUUCAAAUGAUUGUCAACUCUCUUCUGUCAAAUGGGGCUGAUACUAGUAUCCACCUCAAAUUGUUAUGAGGAUUAAAUGAAUGUAAGGUAGUUAGAACAGUGCAUGGCAGAAGAAUUUAUAAGAUAAAAAUAAAAAAUAAAACUGUUUAAAAGAAAAAAGUCCUUCCAUCCUUGUGUGCCUCAAAG